AUGAGGUUUGACACUUUGGAAGGCGCCAAAGAGCACUACAAUGCAUAUGCCUUGCAGAUUGGUUUUUCAAUCAAAAUUAAUACUUCAAGGAAGGCUGUGAAAACUGGAGUGUUGAUAAAACAACAGUUUGUUUGCAACAAGUUUCGAAAGCCUAAAGCCGAUGACGGAGGGGCAGAAAAGAUUCCUGUGCUAGAUGAAAUCGUUGAGUAA
This 210-nucleotide ribosomal RNA is filed under the name Triticum aestivum (bread wheat). RNAcentral describes it as "partial small subunit ribosomal RNA". Lineage: Eukaryota; Viridiplantae; Streptophyta; Magnoliopsida; Poales; Poaceae. The record is from RNAcentral.